RNAcentral lists this long non-coding RNA (529 nucleotides) under Papio anubis (olive baboon). RNAcentral's name for it is "lncRNA (ENSPANG00000044271.1)". Lineage: Eukaryota; Metazoa; Chordata; Mammalia; Primates; Cercopithecidae. The record is from RNAcentral.
CGAUUAUCUGGGAAGUUUCAGGUCUUCAGACUUUUAUUUCUAUGGUGAAACUUAUUCUAAUUUCCAGCCCAAGAUUCUGGAACACAUCUCCCAUUAUGAAGUGGGCCUCAGGGUGGGAGUGGAAGCAGAACCUCUUGUUCACACUCCACACCCUCAUUUUCCAGCAGUGAAGGUAGACUAUUAAGGCUCUCAUGUCAUCAAGGAUGGAGGCAAUGGGAUAAUGGAGAUUCUAGACAUUUGUUUCGUCACCAGCGAAAAUUAAAUGAAGACUCAGGAAUCACUACAGCUACAGGGAUGAGAAGGACAUUUCAGCAGCUACAGUGUGGUGCUUCUACUGAGAUACCAGGAAAAUUCCAACAUAGGAAACAACAGGUGUUAGUGCCAGAAAGGUCUCCAGACAACUCCAGCUCCAUCUACAAUGUGAGGGCAACUGCAUGAGCAACCUUAGGUAAGACAAGCAGAACUUCCCAUCAAGCUAAGAAAACCCACACAACGAUGAGAGAAAACCAAUGAUGGCAUUUUAUACACU